RNAcentral lists this long non-coding RNA (882 nucleotides) under Gallus gallus (chicken). Its description in RNAcentral is "lncRNA (ENSGALG00010026798.1)". The record is from RNAcentral. Lineage: Eukaryota; Metazoa; Chordata; Aves; Galliformes; Phasianidae.
GCAGGGCUGUCACUCAGUAGAAUAGGCUGCCCAUGGCGCCAUCCAUCCUGCCCUUGACCACCACCAGGGACGGGACACCCACAGCUGCUCUGGGCAGCCUAUGACAGUGCGUCACCGCUCUCCGAGUGCUUUGUCUACUACGCUCCUCUACUACCCUACCUAUUUGGGUCUUUUGCUCCCUGAUCGGUCCAGGGCCACUUAGGUACUGAGAAACAGAAGCUUGCUUGCAGGGUGCAAACUGCAAGAUCCCUGUAUGCUCCAGUACCUGCCUGCUCACCAGAAGGGCGAAGACAAGAUGAGACAGGCAGUGCAGAGAGGCGGUGCGCCGUGCGUACGUGUGCCUGCCUGUGGAGAGACCCAUCACCUUUGUGCGUGCCGCUGCUGCUGGCUUGCAUGGGAGAGAUGCUGUGUUUCUGCAAGCUGCUCUUCUUGGCUCCGUGGAGAACGGAGAGGUUGUUCCGAAGCUGGAGGUCCUGUUAGAAGCCAGCAAACAUUCUCAAGCCCUGAGCUCUGCAGGGCACGAGCUUUCCUUUCACCGUGUCAACGGCAGUAUCUAGAACAAUGGCUUCUAGAUCCAUUUUCAGAUUACCAGAUACCUCUCUGAUGGAAACAACCAGCAGUGGCGAUGCGGUUGAGAAUUGCAUCAGAGCGAACAGCGUUUCUGCAGCACCAGGAGCGCAGACUUUAUUUGGAGCCAUAUUCUGCAGUCCUGCCUCAAAGCUUGGGCACGCAUCAGCAGUAGUGCAGCCAGCAGGAGCGCGGUGCUCAUCGGCUCUGGUGGGGCCACACCCCGAGCACUGUGUGCAGUCUGGGGCCCCUCGCUACAAGAAAGACAUCGAGGCACUGGAGCGCGUCCAGACAAGGGAUACGAAGCCGCGAGGG